UACGUAGGGGGGCUAGCGUUGUCCGGAAUCAUUGGGCGUAAAGAGCGUGUAGGCGGUCCGGUAAGUCCGCUGUGAAAGUCGGGGGGCUCAACCCUCGAAUGCCGGUGGAUACUGUCGGGCUAGAGUACGGAAGAGGCGAGUGGAAUUCCUGGUGUAGCGGUGAAAUGCGCAGAUAUCAGGAGGAACACCUAUUGCGAAGGCAGC
This 204-nucleotide ribosomal RNA is filed under the name uncultured bacterium. Its description in RNAcentral is "partial 16S ribosomal RNA". It matches the Rfam family "Bacterial small subunit ribosomal RNA", at positions 524 to 725 of the family's 1533-position model. The record is from RNAcentral.